GACGAACGCUGGCGGCGUGCUUAACACAUGCAAGUCGAACGGUAAGGCCCUUCGGGGUACACGAGUGGCGAACGGGUGAGUAACACGUGGGUGAUCUGCCCUGCACUUCGGGAUAAGCCUGGGAAACUGGGUCUAAUACCGGAUAGGACCACUGCCUGCAUGGGUGGCGGUGGAAAGCUUUUGCGGUGUGGGAUGGGCCCGCGGCCUAUCAGCUUGUUGGUGGGGUGAUGGCCUACCAAGGCGACGACGGGUAGCCGGCCUGAGAGGGGGACCGGCCACACUGGGCCUGAGAUACGGCCCAGACUCCUACGGGAGGAAGCAGUGGGGAAUAUUGCACAAUGGGCGCAAGCCUGAUGCAGCGACGCCGCGUGAGGGAUGACGGCCUUCGGGUUGUAAACCUCUUUCAGCUAUGACGAAGCGCAAGUGACGGUAGUAGCAGAAGAAGGACCGGCCAACUACGUGCCAGCCGCCGCAGUAA
Molecule: ribosomal RNA, 478 nt
Filed under: uncultured bacterium
Lineage: Bacteria
Description: partial 16S ribosomal RNA
Rfam family: Bacterial small subunit ribosomal RNA
Source: RNAcentral